This 301-nucleotide ribosomal RNA is filed under the name uncultured bacterium. RNAcentral's name for it is "partial 16S ribosomal RNA". It matches the Rfam family "Bacterial small subunit ribosomal RNA", at positions 509 to 809 of the family's 1533-position model. The record is from RNAcentral.
CAGUAGCCGCGGUAAUACAGAGGGUGCAAACGUUGUUCGGAAUUACUGGGCGUAAAGCGUGUGUAGGCGGCUUCGCAAGUCGGAUGUGAAAGCCCCGGGCUCAACCCGGGAAGUGCACUCGAUACUGCGGAGCUAGAGUGUCGGAGAGGUUGGUGGAAUUCUCGGUGUAGAGGUGAAAUUCGUAGAUAUCGAGAGGAACACCGGUGGCGAAGGCGGCCAACUGGACGAACACUGACGCUGAGACACGAAAGCGUGGGGAGCAAACAGGAUUAGAUACCCCGGUAGUCCCUGUCUCUUAUAU